RNAcentral lists this ribosomal RNA (253 nucleotides) under uncultured bacterium. RNAcentral describes it as "partial 16S ribosomal RNA". It matches the Rfam family "Bacterial small subunit ribosomal RNA", at positions 524 to 776 of the family's 1533-position model. The record is from RNAcentral.
GACGUAGGGCGCAAGCGUUGUCCGGAUUUAUUGGGCGUAAAGAGCUCGUAGGCGGUUUGUCGCGUCGAAUGUGAAAACCCGGGGCUCAACCCCGGGCCUGCAUUCGAUACGGGCAGACUAGAGUUCGGUAGGGGAGACUGGGAUUCCUGGUGUAGCGGUGAAAUGCGCAGAUAUCAGGAGGAACACCGGUGGCGAAGGCGGGUCUCUGGGCAACAACUGACGCUGAGGAGCGAAAGCGUGGGGAGCGAACAGG